GACGAACGCUGGCGGCGUGCUUAACACAUGCAAGUCGAACGGAAAGGCCCCUCUGGGGGUACUCGCGUGGCGAACGGGUGAGUAACACGUGAGUAAGUUGCCCUUCAUUUAGGGUUAACUACCGGAAGCUGAGGGUAACACAGACUGGAAAUCCUUGCUGCAUGGUGGGGGUUGGAAGGAUUCGGCGGUUUGGGAUGGAUUCGCGGCCUGUCAACUUGUUGGUGGGGGAGGUGCUUACCAAGGGUUUGUCGGGCAGCCGGCCUGGGUGGGGGACCGGCCACAAUGGGACCGAGGUACGGCCCAGACUCCGACGGGGGGCAGGAGGUGGGAAUAAUGCACCAAUGGCGGAAGCCUUAUGCAGCAAAGCCGGGGGCGGGAAGACGGCCUUCGGGGUGUAAACCGCUUUCAGCAGGUGCGAAGGCGGUAGUGACGGUACCGGCAGAAGAAGCACCGGCUAACUACGUG
Molecule: ribosomal RNA, 465 nt
Filed under: uncultured bacterium
Lineage: Bacteria
Description: partial 16S ribosomal RNA
Rfam family: Bacterial small subunit ribosomal RNA
Source: RNAcentral